Long non-coding RNA from Humulus lupulus (European hop), 913 nucleotides. RefSeq lists it as uncharacterized. NCBI's taxonomy places the organism in Eukaryota, Viridiplantae, Streptophyta, Magnoliopsida, Rosales, Cannabaceae. The transcript has 2 exons. The record is from RefSeq and is a predicted model, not a curated record.
ACAAUUUGGCCUACAUAUUUUUCAUAAUUACCAGAUUACCCUUAGUUAUAAAUAGUUGAAAUUAUUUUUAAAAAAUUAUGAGACACAUGUCAUAUUAUAAUUGGUCCUACUCAUUUAUUUAUAUAAAAUUAAUAUUAAAAUUAUAAAAUAAUUAAAAAAAACAAAUUAAAAUAUAUAAAAUUAGUUUAAUUGACAUAAAAAAAUUAAACUGAAAAAAUAUUUCCAGAUCUCGUUCUUCUCUUUCUCCUCCCCCCUGCGGUUUCUUCUUCUUCUUCUUCUUCUUCUUUGAAUUGUGGUUGAAGCCAGAGCUGGGUUGAGGGCUUGUCGAAGACGGAACGGGAGCUAGGUCGAGAGGCCAGGGAUAGGGAAAAUCGUGGUCUGAACUGGCACCAAUCUCUUCUUCUUCUACCUUUCACUUUCUCUUCUGCUACUGUAGGUGAUUGGUGCUGGAAACGGGUGCGUCUGGGAGGCUCUGAGAUGAUUGUAGGCUUUUGGCUUCUAACUUCAGCGCAUGAGAACAACCAAUCCAUACCGAAGGUGGAGGAAUUACGACAUAGCUUUGAGGAGCUGGUUGAAGGCGACACUGGACGUAUGGUACUUCAUUUCUGUGCGAUGUGGCGACUGAGCUGGGCUGUGGUGAUGGAGGGUAAGAGCAACAAUAGAUCUAAUCCGGGGAGGUGCAGUUUAGCCGACAAUAGUGGGGGGAGCUUGAACUGGAUUUGAUUAUUUUUUAUAAAUUAUACAAAUAUGAAUCUAAGACCUGUUUUCUUUUCUAAUUUUCUUUUUGGGGUUGUGAUUUUGAUUUUUUAUAAUUUUGAAAUAGGUUGGGGUCUUGAUUUUGUUAUUGUUUGUGAUUUUGGUUUUGGGAUUUAAUUUGGGGUGUUGAUUUUAUUAUGGAUUAUUCUUGAGUGUU